CCUACGGGAGGCAGCAGUGGGGAAUAUUUGGCAAUGGGCGCAAGCCUGACCCAGCAACGCCGCGUGAAGGAAGAAGGCUUUCCGGUUGUAAACUUCUUUUGUCAGGGACGAAGCAAGUGACGGUACCUGACGAAUAAGCCACGGCUAACUACGUGCCAGCAGCCGCGGUAAUACGAAGGAGGUAAGCGUUAUCCGGAUUUACUGGUUGUAAAGGGCGUGUAGGCGGGACUGCAAGUCAGCUGUGAAAACCACGGGCUCAACCUGUGGCCUGCAUUUGAAACUGUAGUUCUAGAGUACUGGAGAGGCAGACGGAAUUCCUAGUGUAGCGGUGAAAUGCGUAGAUAUUAGGAGGAACACCAGUGGCGAAGGCGGUCUGCUGGACAGCAACUGACGCUGAGGCGCGAAAGCGUGGGGAGCAAACAGGAUUAGAUACCCUGGUAGUC
RNAcentral lists this ribosomal RNA (443 nucleotides) under uncultured bacterium. RNAcentral's name for it is "partial 16S ribosomal RNA". It matches the Rfam family "Bacterial small subunit ribosomal RNA", at positions 338 to 795 of the family's 1533-position model. The record is from RNAcentral.